RNAcentral lists this ribosomal RNA (468 nucleotides) under uncultured bacterium. Its description in RNAcentral is "partial 16S ribosomal RNA". It matches the Rfam family "Bacterial small subunit ribosomal RNA", at positions 28 to 507 of the family's 1533-position model. The record is from RNAcentral.
GACGAACGCUGGCGGCGUGCUUAACACAUGCAAGUCGAACGGAGAAGCUCCACCUUGCUGGAGUGGAUCAGUGGCGAACGGGUGAGUAACACGUGAGCAACCUGCCCCGUACUCUGGAAUAAGCGCUGGAAACGGCUUCUAAUACUUGCUAUGAGAAGGGUCCGCAUGGACACCUUCUGGAAAGUCGUUCGGUUGGGGAUGGGCUCGCGGCCUACCAGCUUGUUGGUGAGGGAAUGGCUCACCAAGGCGACGACGGGUAGCCGGCCUGGGAGCUCGAACAGCCACCCUGGGACUGAGACAGGGACCAGACGCCUACGGGAGGCAGCGGUGGGGAAUAUUGCACAAUGGGCGAAAGCCUGAUGCAGCGACGCCGCGUGUGGGAUGACGGCCUUCGGGUUGGAAACCUCUUUCAGCAGGGAAGAAGCGAAAGUGACGGUACCUGCAGAAGAAGCACCGGCUAACUACGUG